Molecule: transfer-messenger RNA, 291 nt
Filed under: Planctomycetales bacterium
Lineage: Bacteria; Pseudomonadati; Planctomycetota; Planctomycetia; Planctomycetales
Description: partial transfer-messenger RNA
Rfam family: transfer-messenger RNA
About the family: Bacterial tmRNA, also known as 10Sa RNA or SsrA, is named for its dual tRNA and mRNA-like properties. Its role is to liberate the mRNA from a stalled ribosome.
Source: RNAcentral
GUAAAAAGCUGACCACAAUUUUAAGUGCCGAGGAUUCCCUCGCUCUGGCUGCCUAAGAGAAGGUAGCCCCGACUGCGUCUCUUAGCCGGAGAGGGGCAAAAGUCGGUUGUUAAAUCCGGACCGUCCCAAGUCAUGUCGAGCACGCUUGGGCCUAAAACUUGUUCUCGGCUGGUCGUUGCCGGAUUCCGUCGAUUGGAGCCGGCGCGGCGAGACCUAAUCAAUCGACUACGCGCGUAGAAGCCAUGGUGGAAACACCGCGGGACGCGGGUUCAAUUCCCGCCGCCUCCACUC